GGGAGUAGCUAGCGGCCUGGUGGUGCUCCUGGACUUCAAAUCCAGUGGUGGGUGCGCUCCAUCCACGGUGGGUUCGAUUCCCAUCUACUCCCGCCA
This 96-nucleotide transfer RNA is filed under the name Bacillota bacterium. Its description in RNAcentral is "Firmicutes bacterium (anaerobic digester metagenome) tRNA-Sec". It matches the Rfam family "Selenocysteine transfer RNA". Lineage: Bacteria; Bacillati; Bacillota. The record is from RNAcentral.